ACUCAAAUGAAUUGACGGGGGCCCGCACAAGCGGUGGAGUAUGUGGUUUAAUUCGAAGCAACGCGCAGAACCUUACCUGGGCUUAACAUCCCACGACAUCCGCAGAGAUGCGGCUUUCCCUUCGGGGACGUGGAGAUAGGUGCUGCAUGGCUGUCGUCAGCUCGUGUCGUAAGAUGUUGGGUUAAGUCCCGCAACGAGCGCAACCCUUGUCCUUAGUUGCCAGCAUUAAGUUGGGCACUCUGAGGAGACUGCCGGUGUUAAACCGGAGGAAGGCGGGGAUGACGUCAAGUCCUCAUGGCCCUUACGUCCAGGGCUACACACGUACUACAAUGGCAAAGACAAAGGGUUGCGAAACCGCGAGGUGGAGCUAAUCCCAAAAACAUUGUCUCAGUCCGGAUUGGAGUCUGCAACUCGACUCCAUGAAGCUGGAAUCGCUAGUAAUCGCAGAUCAGCACGCUGCGGUGAAUACGUUCCCGGGCCUUGUACACACCGCCCGU
RNAcentral lists this ribosomal RNA (497 nucleotides) under uncultured bacterium. RNAcentral describes it as "partial 16S ribosomal RNA". It matches the Rfam family "Bacterial small subunit ribosomal RNA", at positions 899 to 1397 of the family's 1533-position model. The record is from RNAcentral.